RNAcentral lists this ribosomal RNA (492 nucleotides) under uncultured bacterium. RNAcentral describes it as "partial 16S ribosomal RNA". It matches the Rfam family "Bacterial small subunit ribosomal RNA", at positions 29 to 507 of the family's 1533-position model. The record is from RNAcentral.
AGUGAACGCUGGCGGUAGGCCUAACACAUGCAAGUCGAACGGCAGCACAGUAAGAGCUUGCUCUUACGGGUGGCGAGUGGCGGACGGGUGAGGAAUACAUCGGAAUCUACUUUUUCGUGGGGGAUAACGUAGGGAAACUUACGCUAAUACCGCAUACGACCUACGGGUGAAAGCAGGGGAUCUUCGGACCUUGCGCGAUUGAAUGAGCCGAUGUCGGAUUAGCUAGUUGGCGGGGUAAAGGCCCACCAAGGCGACGAUCCGUAGCUGGUCUGAGAGGAUGAUCAGCCACACUGGAACUGAGACACGGUCCAGACUCCUACGGGAGGCAGCAGUGGGGAAUAUUGGACAAUGGGCGCAGGCCUGAUCCAGCCAUACCGCGUGGGUGAAGAAGGCCUUCGGGUUGUAAAGCCCUUUUGUUGGGAAAGAAAAGCAGCAGGUUAAUACCCCGCUGCUCUGACGGUACCCAAAGAAUAAGCACCGGCUAACUUCGUG